Molecule: ribosomal RNA, 330 nt
Filed under: uncultured eukaryote
Lineage: Eukaryota
Description: partial 18S ribosomal RNA
Rfam family: Eukaryotic small subunit ribosomal RNA
Source: RNAcentral
CCCUUAGAUGUUCUGGGCCGCACGCGCGCUACACUGACGGAGCCAACGAGUCUUUUCCUUGUCCGGAAGGACUGGGUAAUCUUGUGAAACUUCGUCGUGCUGGGGAUAGAGCAUUGCAAUUAUUGCUCUUCAACGAGGAAUUCCUAGUAAGUGCAAGUCAUCAGCUUGCGCUGAUUACGUCCCUGCCCUUUGUACACACCGCCCGUCGCUACUACCGAUUGAAUGGUUUAGUGAGAUCUCUGGAUUGACGCUGGCUAGGGGGCGACCCUUGGCCAGGCUGUCGAGAAACUGCUCAAACUUGAUCAUUUAGAGGAAGUAAAAGUCGUAACA